Molecule: long non-coding RNA, 852 nt
Filed under: Mytilus galloprovincialis (Mediterranean mussel)
Lineage: Eukaryota; Metazoa; Mollusca; Bivalvia; Mytilida; Mytilidae
Source: RNAcentral
AAUUUUUCUCAGAGCUUCUGGGGGCCUUGAGCGGCCCCAGAACCCAGCGUCAAAAAAUGUUCGCCUCUCUCCGCUCGGCGAAUAUAUUUUGCCUCACUAUUAGAAGAGGCUAGUUACGGCCCUGUCAUAUAACAUGAAAUUGAUAAGGUUACUCUAGCAUAAACGUACAAUUGUAACACACAAUUUAUCUUUCAAAACGGAAUCUUGUAUUCUGUUAUUAUUAAUCAUGGCUAGAUAGAAUUUCAUAUUUUAUUGGAUCAUUUGUACAAUACAUUAUUAGAAUACGUUUAAGAACCUAAUCUACAAUCAGAAGUGAAAGAUCGGAAAGAACCACUUCAAACUAUAGUUCUGUACAAGUAUCGGGAGGACACGUACGUAUUAACGCUUAGAAAGGUUGUCUUAAAAUAAAAAUACAUCUCAUGCAAUCACAUUUGGAGACUUAAAUUAUAUAUUCUUACAAAAAAAUUGUGGAAAGACCAAGUUUUAAUGUAAGUAAAGGGCGAAAUAAUUGUAUAAAGUAUACUGAUAUGAUGACGUUUCAGAGAUGGUCGUACACGAAGCGUUCCUUGCAUUUUGCUUAAGGUUAUCAAACUCAAUGAAUUUUUGAACUGUUGGGCUAACAGCAAAAUUUUCCCAUUUUGACAUCAGUCUUAAUAGAUAAGACAGUAGUGCAACAGCCUCACAUCAAAAUAUUUUCUUUGUUUUUUUUUAAAGAUUUUAAAGUUUUUCGAGUAAGGUCGAGUAAGGUUGUUGCUCAACACAAUGAAGCUGCAUUGACUCCGAUGUGUACAAGGUGUAUAAGUUAGUACGCAGACGUUUGUGACGUGUAUACAUAAGACUCGUCAGCAGAGC